GCUUCGGUGGUGGAUUAGUGGCGAACGGGUGAGUAACACGUGGGCAAUCUGCCCUUCACUCUGGGACAAGCCCUGGAAACGGGGUCUAAUACCGGAUAACACUCUGUCCCGCAUGGGACGGGGUUGAAAGCUCCGGCGGUGAAGGAUGACCCCGCGGCCUAUCAUCUUGUUGGUGGGGUAAUGGCCUACCAGGGCGACGACGGGUACCCGGCCUGAGAGGGCGACCGGCCACUCUGGGACUGAGACACGGCCCACACUCCUACGGGAGGCAGCAGUGGGGAAUAUUGCCGGUACAAUGGGCGAAUGCCUGAUGCCGCGAGGCGGAGCGAGGGAUCUCAAAAAGCCG
This 346-nucleotide ribosomal RNA is filed under the name Streptomyces sp. EAGB41. RNAcentral's name for it is "bacterial SSU rRNA". It matches the Rfam family "Bacterial small subunit ribosomal RNA", at positions 77 to 397 of the family's 1533-position model. Lineage: Bacteria; Bacillati; Actinomycetota; Actinomycetes; Kitasatosporales; Streptomycetaceae. The record is from RNAcentral.